CACAUAGAGACACACACAGACGCGCGGGCACACGGGAGCGAGGUUUCCGCUGCCGCUGCCAGAGACAACAGGCAGCAGCCGAGCUCGGGCUGCGCAGGCGGAGCAGCGGCAGCGGUGGGAGAGAGGGACACACAUACACACACACACACACACACACACACGCAAGCACACACACCCACGCACCGCGGGCCAGGCAGAAAUGUGCAUUUCAGAAAUACCGGAGCACGGCCCCCGUUUCCUUCCCCCAGCCCCCGCCGCACCCCCGGGGGGUGGAGUGAUGAAUGGGCCGCACGCCCUUGGUUUCCCUCCGGCCACUCCGGCACACCGCUCCCCGGCGCGGAGCCGCCGCGGCACGCUGGGCGGGGGCGGCCCCCCCACACAUCCGUCGGGGACGUUGGGAGAUAUUGAUCACGGACGACUUCAUUUUGCAUAACUGCGGCUGACAGGGCCUGUGGUUCCCUCAUUUACGGAGCAACAGCUUCGCGGGGCUGAUGGAUGGGGAGCGGCUCCCUCCGCUCCGCCAGCCCCCCACUCGGUUCCCCAGCGCCAGCCCCGCAGCCCCGCCGGGGGAGGCUCCGCGCCUCACGCAGCAAAUGGCCGCGCACAACAGGCAAAUAUUAAACUUA
This is a long non-coding RNA of Taeniopygia guttata (zebra finch), 626 nucleotides long. RefSeq lists it as uncharacterized. NCBI's taxonomy places the organism in Eukaryota, Metazoa, Chordata, Aves, Passeriformes, Estrildidae. The record is from RefSeq and is a predicted model, not a curated record.